Molecule: ribosomal RNA, 404 nt
Filed under: Actinomycetes bacterium
Lineage: Bacteria; Bacillati; Actinomycetota; Actinomycetes
Description: Actinobacteria bacterium partial 16S ribosomal RNA
Rfam family: Bacterial small subunit ribosomal RNA
Source: RNAcentral
UGGGGAAUAUUGGACAAUGGGCGCAAGCCUGAUCCAGCCAUGCCGCGUGAGUGAUGAAGGCCCUAGGGUUGUAAAGCUCUUUCACCGGUGAAGAUAAUGACGGUAACCGGAGAAGAAGCCCCGGCUAACUUCGUGCCAGCAGCCGCGGUAAUACGAAGGGGGCUAGCGUUGUUCGGAUUUACUGGGCGUAAAGCGCACGUAGGCGGACUUUUAAGUCUGGGGUGAAGUCCCGGGGCUCAACCCCGGAACUGCCUUUGAUACUGGAAGUCUUGAGUAUGGUAGAGGUGAGUGGAAUUCCGAGUGUAGAGGUGAAAUUCGUAGAUAUUCGGAGUAACACCAGUGGCGAAGGCGGCUCACUGGACCAUUACUGACACUGAGGUUCGAAAGCGAGGGGAGCAAACAGG